This is a non-coding RNA of Lonchura striata (white-rumped munia), 493 nucleotides long. NCBI's taxonomy places the organism in Eukaryota, Metazoa, Chordata, Aves, Passeriformes, Estrildidae. The record is from RefSeq and is a predicted model, not a curated record.
CAGCGACAGCCAUGAAAAUGAAUGUUUUGGCUUCACCCAAAAUGAUGGAUAAUCCUGCUGGAAGAGCAUGACAAUGAUAGACAGACAUCUUCUGAAGGGGAAGGUUUUUGAUGCACAGUAACUCCACCAUAUCUCCUGUUAGAUGUUAAAUGCUGCAAGUUCAAUCUGAGAUGCACUGAGAGAAGCACCAGUGCUCCUGGGGUGUGCCCUGAGUGUGCCACACAUGGAAGUGCCUUGAAUUUUCACAGUGUAUGACUGUGGGGCAGGAGGAUGAUCACUGCAUGCCAAGCCUUGAGAAGUUGCAUCUUGCUAGACACUGCACUGAAAGCAGUCCAGAAGAAUAUGAGACCAGAACCUGACCACUCUAUAAUUCAUAAGUAAAUAAUACAGUGUGAGAUAAAUGGCAGACACAUCUGGGAAGAGCCACUGGAAAUUUUCAUACAUUGCUCACCUCUCUCUCUUGGCUGAUCCACAGAGUGAGUAUUCAUUAAAU